This 807-nucleotide ribosomal RNA is filed under the name uncultured bacterium. RNAcentral's name for it is "bacterial SSU rRNA". It matches the Rfam family "Bacterial small subunit ribosomal RNA", at positions 8 to 796 of the family's 1533-position model. The record is from RNAcentral.
AGAGUUUGAUCCUGGCUCAGAACGAACGUUAGCGGCGCGCCUAACACAUGCAAGUCGCACGAGAAAGGGCUUCGGCCCCGGUAAAGUGGCGCACGGGUGAGUAACACGUGGGUAAUCUUCCCUCGAGCGGGGGAUAACAUUCCGAAAGGAGUGCUAAUACCGCAUAAGACCACGGACUCGAAAGAGUCUGCGGUCAAAGCUGGCCUCUUCAUGAAAGCUAGCACUUGAGGAUGAGCCCGCGGCCCAUCAGGCAGUUGGCAGGGUAAUGGCCUACCAAACCUAAGACGGGUAGCUGGUCUGAGAGGAUGAUCAGCCACACUGGAACUGAGACACGGUCCAGACUCCUACGGGAGGCAGCAGUGGGGAAUCUUGCGCAAUGGACGAAAGUCUGACGCAGCGACGCCGCGUGAGUGAUGAAGGCCUUCGGGUUGUAAAGCUCUGUGGGGAGAGAAGAAUUAGUGGAGGCUAAUCACUCCAUGAUGACGGUAUCUCCUUAGCAAGCACCGGCUAACUCUGUGCCAGCAGCCGCGGUAAGACAGAGGGUGCAAACGUUGUUCGGAAUUACUGGGCGUAAAGCGUGUGUAGGUGGCUGCGAAAGUCGGAUGUGAAAGCCCUGGGCUCAACUCAGGAAGUGCACCCGAUACUGCGUAGCUAGAGUACCGGAGAGGUUGGUGGAAUUCUCGGUGUAGAGGUGAAAUUCGUAGAUAUCGAGAGGAACACCUGUGGCGAAGGCGGCCAACUGGACGAGUACUGACACUGAGACACGAAAGCGUGGGGAGCAAACAGGAUUAGAUACCCCCGUAGUCC